Labrus mixtus (cuckoo wrasse) is the source of this 233-nucleotide long non-coding RNA. RefSeq lists it as uncharacterized. Lineage: Eukaryota; Metazoa; Chordata; Actinopteri; Labriformes; Labridae. The transcript has 2 exons. The record is from RefSeq and is a predicted model, not a curated record.
CCUCUGAUUUCUCCUCUUUUUUACUUCGUUUGGAGAGUUUGUUUAACACAUAUCUGACAACAUACAUGGCUUGCUGUGCGGUUAACAGACCAUCCAACAAGUUGAUGCUUCAGUUGUUUUCGACCCCGCACUAAAAGUCCAUGUUCUCCUGGAUCCAUGUCACAUGCUCGAGCUUCUUCAGAAUGACUUUUCAACAGUCGAAGUUCUGAUGAGAGAAGAUGGCCAGCAGAUAA